AUAAUAAUAAUAAUAAUAAUAAUAAUAAUAAUAACAAAAGCAUUUUUUUUCUAAUUAUGCAAAACAAUUCAAUAAAUAAACAACAAAAUAAAAUUCCAAAAUAAAUAAAAACAUUGAUUUUUUUUUAUAUAAACGCUCACUCUUCGUCCCUCUCCCUCUCUCUUUCCCCAAGACCAAGAUCAAGAUUCCCCUCUCCCUCUCUCCCUCCCUCCUCUUUUCAUCAAUUUUCUCUCUCUCCCUUAGUGCCGUGUCUUUCUCUCCAGGAGGCAGACGUCUCUCCGGUCUCUCCUUCCCUCCCUCCCUUUCCUCCAGGAGAGAGAGAUUUCCCUCCUUUUCUCCUAAAUAAGGGAGGAAUUCUGUCAUGGACAAGCCGGUACGGUUGGCAUCCCUGGCUAUGGUGGCACUUGUGGUGGUGGCAGCCCUGACUACGAUGGCGAUGGUGGUUGAGAGUGCCUCGGUGCGAGAACGUAAACCCACAAACCACUCCAAUAACACUUCAGUCAUUGCAGUGCCUUCAGAUCUACUGGUGCGCCUACUGGAGGUGACACAAUCCCUUCAUAACUUGCUGCCGCGCCGGAGUGUAAGCGACGGAAACAUUGAGGCGACCCAAGAGACCGCUGGGCUAAAAGGUGCGUCUGGUGAGGAGCGGAUUCUUACACUUGCACUGACACAACACGCGCUGCUACAACACAGAAUGGAGGAACUUCUGACGCAAACAGGAAGGUGUCAAGCCCAGGUGGAGGCGCUGCGGGAGGACAAGGAGGAGCUGAAGAGGGAAAUUCAAGCCACGAAGGAGCGAAUGACGACAAAAAACAAAGAUUUAGGCUCGUCGACACAUGAAUUUCCCGCCAAAAGUGACCACGGUUGCAAAUGUAAACAAACUGACUCUGACGCACCCAAAAGGACUGCAAUGCUCUCUACCACUGCUACUAUCGAUACUACUACUGCAAUAACUGUCCUCACUGCUCCGCCUGGUUCUCCUGAGUCUACUACUAUCACUAAUGGCAGGAAUAGUAGCACUGGGCGGAUAGUAGACCGUGUUUCUGGUGGAGCGGUGACUGAGACUACUUCUAUUACAAUUAUUCCGACUACUACUGCUGCUACUACUAUUGCUACUACUACUACUACUGAGAGUGUGGUCGUGCUUGGAUCUGGUGUAAGGUGAUCUUGGAACCUCAGGGAAAACAACAUGCAGCAAAUGAGUUGGAAUGGCUAGAACCAGAGGAUGGGGGUGUGCGUCCAGGGAGUUGAGGAGUGCCACUGCUUCAACUGAUGUGUGGGACCUUGAGGCAGAGGGUCCACCAGGUGUGUGUGUGUGUGUGUGUGUGUGUGUGUGUGUGUGAGAAUGUUUUCCUACUUGUGGUGAAUGGUAAGGAAAAAGAGUGUGUGGUGGUGUGUGGUGUGGCCUUGUUUGUGGCAGAUGCAUUGGGGAGUGUGUGGUGGUGUGUGGUGUGACCUUGCUUGUGGCAGAUGCAUUGGGGAGUGUGUGGUGGUGUGUGGUGUGACCUUGCUUGUGGCAGAUGCACUGGGGAGUGUGUGGUGGUGUGUGGUGUGACCUUAGUAACUUAACUUCUUAGUAACUUGUUUGAUAAUGGACUCCCUUGAAAACUGAUGACAAAAAUAGAAUGCUAGGUAUAGAAAAUGCGCCCAGAUUAUUAGUAUGAAAUAUCUGGGGAUUAAUUCGCUAGCAAACUAACACUAGACAAGAAACAAGAAACGUGACACGGAAAAAGAGAAGUUUGAAAACUGUGACAGUAUGAGAGCUGCCGAGGUUUAGUAGGUGAGUGCGUGGGCGCGGCCGUGACAGUGCGUGUGUGUGCGUGG
Long non-coding RNA from Scylla paramamosain (green mud crab), 1824 nucleotides. RefSeq lists it as uncharacterized. The record is from RefSeq and is a predicted model, not a curated record. The transcript is spliced from 6 exons. NCBI's taxonomy places the organism in Eukaryota, Metazoa, Arthropoda, Malacostraca, Decapoda, Portunidae.